This 429-nucleotide ribosomal RNA is filed under the name Gemmatimonadota bacterium. RNAcentral describes it as "Gemmatimonadetes bacterium partial 16S ribosomal RNA". It matches the Rfam family "Bacterial small subunit ribosomal RNA", at positions 355 to 776 of the family's 1533-position model. Lineage: Bacteria; Pseudomonadati; Gemmatimonadota. The record is from RNAcentral.
UAGGGAAUCUUCGGCAAUGGACGAAAGUCUGACCGAGCAACGCCGCGUGAGUGAAGAAGGUUUUCGGAUCGUAAAACUCUGUUGUUAGAGAAGAACAAGGACGUUAGUAACUGAACGUCCCCUGACGGUAUCUAACCAGAAAGCCACGGCUAACUACGUGCCAGCAGCCGCGGUAAUACGUAGGUGGCAAGCGUUGUCCGGAUUUAUUGGGCGUAAAGCGAGCGCAGGCGGUUUCUUAAGUCUGAUGUGAAAGCCCCCGGCUCAACCGGGGAGGGUCAUUGGAAACUGGGAGACUUGAGUGCAGAAGAGGAGAGUGGAAUUCCAUGUGUAGCGGUGAAAUGCGUAGAUAUAUGGAGGACUACCAGUGGCGAAGGCGGCUCUCUGGUCUGUAACUGACGCUGAGGCUCGAAAGCGUGGGGAGCAAACAGG